UGAAACAAUGAUUGUGUGUGUGUGUGUGUGUGUGUGUGUGUGUGUGUGUGUGUGUGUGUGUGUGUGUGUGUGUGUGUGUGUGUGUGCAUGCAUGCAUGUUUGUGUUUACAAAUGUUUUAAUGAAGGUUGAGGUUGGUUAAUAAAACCACAGUGCACAGAAUGUUCACUUAUAGAAAUAAAAACACAUGUCAGUGGGCAGUUUUUUUAAGACUCUAAUUAGUAAGAAAAAACUUAACAUAACAUAACAUCUCCUGCCGUUUAGGAGACCAAAGCAUGGUUGUUAUAUAUUCUGUAAAGCUAAUUACACCUCAUUGCUGCUGAAUUCUCUGGAUUGUUUUGCAGACAUUUCACAACAUUCAAUGUACCUGUAAAUGGAUAAAAAGUGGCAUAACAGGAAUAAAACACUUGGGCACAUGCUAUUGGAAUAUAUUCAGUUCCACAGUAGAUAAAGUAGAACCGGCAGAGUACAGGUGAUCAGAUUAGGGUGAACAACAAGGCUGCUGGAUUGUGUUGUUCUAGGAGACAUGACAGUUUUGUUAGGACCUGCUGUAGUGUUGUAGUAUUGUGAUAUUGUAGCAGAUGUAGCUGACUCAGUCACCAUGGUAACGUAUGUUCCCAUUGUAGUCGUGUUGUCCGUGGAAGUCACAGACGUUGGCCUCCAUGGAUUCACAGUGGUGCCAUUUGGUGUCAUCAUUGUGAUGGGGUCAUUUGCAGGUAUUGUGAUGGUUGAUAGCAUCACAUGAGUGGCAUUUACUGGCAGUGAGGUGGUAGAUGCUCUACGUGAAGUCAUCACUGUGGUGGUAGCGUUUAAAGGUACUGUAGAUGUUCUACGUGAAGUCAUCACUGUGGUGGUAGCAUUUAAAGGUCCUGUAGAUGUUCUAUGUGAAGUCAUCACUAUGGUGGUAGUGUUUAAAGGUACUGUAGAUGUUCUACGUGAAGUCAUCACUGUGGUGGUAGCAUUUAAAGGUACUGUAGAUGUUCUAUGUGAAGGCAUCACUGUGAUGGUAGUGUAUAAAGGUAUUGUAGAUGCUCUAUUUGAAGACAUUACAGGGGUGGCAUUUAGAGGUCUUAUGGUAGUGGUGACAUUCUUCACCAUUGGUCUUGUGGUGUUGUUUGAUGGAAAGAAAGUGGUGGCAUUUGAAGGCAUCUUUGUGAUUCUAGCAUUUGAAGGAACUGUAGAGGUAAGAUUCAUUAGUAUUGGAGUGGAGUUGUUCGAUGACAUCAAAAUGGUGGUAUUGGGUGGCAUCACUGUGAUUGUAGUAUUCAAGGUUAUCGUAGAUGUUCUAUUUGAAGAUGUCACAGUGAGGUUUAUAGGAACUGUAGUGGUGACACUCAUUACCCUUGGAGGGGUGUGGUUGUUUGGUGUCAUUGGGGUUGCAGUUGAUUGAGUUAUGUUAUUUGUGGUGCUGGUUUGUGAUGGCAUCAACAAGGUGGUGUUCAUUGGUCUUAUGAUUGUUCCAUUAGUCGUUGUGGAAUGGGUUGUUGCCUUUGUAGUUGAAAAGGUCUUUGUGUUUGUUACCU
Ictalurus punctatus (channel catfish) is the source of this 1521-nucleotide long non-coding RNA. NCBI's taxonomy places the organism in Eukaryota, Metazoa, Chordata, Actinopteri, Siluriformes, Ictaluridae. The record is from Ensembl.